Molecule: ribosomal RNA, 1418 nt
Filed under: uncultured organism
Description: 16S ribosomal RNA
Rfam family: Bacterial small subunit ribosomal RNA
Source: RNAcentral
AACGCUAGCUACAGGCUUAACACAUGCAAGUCGAGGGGCAGCAUGAUCUUAUCUUGCUAAGGACGAUGGCGACCGGCGCACGGGUGAGUAACACGUAUCCAACCUGCCGUCUACUCUUGGACAGCCUUCUGAAAGGAAGAUUAAUACAAGAUGGCAUCAUGAGUCCGCAUGUUCACAUGAUUAAAGGUAUUCCGGUAGACGAUGGGGAUGCGUUCCAUUAUAUAGUAGGCGGGGUAACGGCCCACCUAGUCUUCGAUGGAUAGGGGUUCUGAGAGGAAGGUCCCCCACAUUGGAACUGAUACACGGUCCACACUCCUACUGGAGGCAGCAGUGAGGAAUAUUGUUCAAUGGGCGAGAGCCUGAACCAGCCAAGUAGCGUGAAGGAUGACUGCCCUAUGGGUUGUAAACUUCUUUUAUAAUGGAAUAAAGUCGGUUAUGGAUACCCGUUUGCAUGUACUUUAUGAACUAAGAUCAGCUAACUCCGUGCCUACAGCCGCGGUAAUACGGAAGAUCCGAGCGGUUAUCGGGAUUUAUUGGGUGUAAAGGGAGUGUAGAUGGAUGUUUCAGUCAGUUGUGAAAGUUUGCGGCUCGACCGUAGAAUAGCAGUUGAUAGUAGAUGUCUUGAGUGUAGUCGAGGCAGGCGGAAUUCGUGGAGUAGUGGUGAGAUGCUUAGAUAUCGAGAAGAACUCUGAUUGCGAAGGCAGCCUGCUAAGCUGCAACUGACAUUGAGGCUAGAAAGUGUGGGUAUCAAACAGGAUUAGAUGCCAUGGUAGUGCACUCGGUAAUAGAUGAAUUCUCGCUGUUUGUGAUAUAGUGCAAGCGGUCAAGAGUAAGCGUUAAGUAUUCCACCUGGGGAGUACGCCGGCAACGGUGAAACUCAAAGGAAUUGACGGGGGCGCGCACAAGCGGAGGAACAUGUGGUUUAAUUGGAUGAUACGCGAGGAACCUUCCUCGGGCUUAAAUUGCAGAUGAAUUACGGUGAAAGCCGUAAGCCGCAAGGCAUCUGUGAAGGUGCUGCAUGGUUGUGGUCAGCUCGUGCCGUGAGGUGUCGGCUUAAGUGCCAUAACGAGCGCAACCCUUGUUGUCAGUUAAUAACAGGUUUCGAUGAGGACUCUGACAAGCCUGCCAUAGUAAGAUGUGAGGAAGGUGGGGAUGUCGUCAAAUCAGCACGGCCGUUACGUCCGGGGCUACACACGUGUUACAAUGGGGGGUACAGAGGGCCGGUUCCACGCGAGUGGAUGCCAAUCCCCAAAACCUCUAUCAGUUUGGACUGGAGUGUGCAACCCGAGCUCCAAGAAGCUGGAUUCGUUAGUAAUCGCGCAUCAGCCACGGCGCGGUGAAUUCGUUCCCGGGCCUUGUACACACCCCCCGUCAAGCCAUGGGAGCCGGGGGUACGUGAAGUGCGUAACCGCGAGGAG